Molecule: non-coding RNA, 445 nt
Organism: Pelobates cultripes (western spadefoot toad)
Lineage: Eukaryota; Metazoa; Chordata; Amphibia; Anura; Pelobatidae
Source: the annotation of a GenBank genome assembly
CAGGCUUAUUUUAUUAAGACUUGAUACCUGCUGGUUAUAGAGUGCCUGUUUAACGUAGUAAUACAAGUAUCGCUUGAUGAAGCCUAAAGAGACACUAUAGUCACCAAAACAGAAAUUGAAACCAUUUUCUUUUCAUGCAGGCUAUGUUAGUCACACACAGGGAGGUGUGGCAAGGGCUGCAUAAACAGAAAGAAACGUGAUUUAACCCCUAAAUGGCUAUAAAUUAAGCAGUGAAACUUCAGAGGCAUGAUCUAUAAACCAAAACUGCUCCAUGAAGCUAAAUUGUUUAGGUGACAUACUGUCCCUUUCACUAUCAUGGUAAGCCGGAGUAUGAAAAUGUUAGAUAAAUCACAAGUGGGGUUGUUCACUAAAGUAAAUUGUUACAAAUGUGAUUCAUUUAAAAAUCACAUAAACAGGAAAAUUCAACAAAAACUUCCCUUAAAAC